RNAcentral lists this unclassified non-coding RNA (340 nucleotides) under Acinetobacter bohemicus. RNAcentral describes it as "Long range pseudoknot". The record is from RNAcentral. Lineage: Bacteria; Pseudomonadati; Pseudomonadota; Gammaproteobacteria; Moraxellales; Moraxellaceae.
ACAGACAUUGGUGAUUACAACAUCAAGUUACGUGCAAUUCUUCGUUUCCUAGAGGAAGGGAACAAGGUAAAAAUUACCUUGCGCUUCCGUGGUCGUGAAAUGGCUCACCAACAAUUAGGUCUUGCUCAAUUACAAAAAGUUGAAGCAGAUGUAAUUGAAUACGGUACAGUCGAACAAGCACCAAAAAUGGAAGGUCGUCAAAUGGGCAUGCUCAUUGGACCGAAACGUAAAAAAUAAGCACGCGUUGAUCCAUUGAUAAAAAAAGCACUGCCAAUGCAGUGCUUUUUUUUAUGCCUGAGGAUUUGGUUUAAAAUUCUAAUACUGGGACAGGACUUGGAUA